Molecule: long non-coding RNA, 1937 nt
Organism: Tachysurus fulvidraco (yellow catfish)
Lineage: Eukaryota; Metazoa; Chordata; Actinopteri; Siluriformes; Bagridae
Exons: 2
Source: RefSeq, a predicted model, not a curated record
AAUCAUCAGUAAGCGCCAGUUCUGUAGAUGAAAAUGCUUUGUGAUGAAAAAGGUCAAAGGAAAGUGGACACACUGGUUUGAGUUGAUCAAAGAGUGUUCCUAAUAAAGUGUAAUACCAGUGUGUGAAAAGCUUCUACAGCGCCUCCUACUGGCCUGGACUUUUAUUUAGGAAUCUAAAGUUGUAAUUACAAUUAUUUUCCGAUAGGAGGCAAUGUAGUGGUGUUCGUCAGUUACCGUUAAACACUGGCAUAAGAUUAAUAUUAUGGGUAAAAACAAAGUUUAUUAUUAAAAAUGAUGAAUAUUGUACAAUUUUUUGUUAUGUUUAUGGUUAAUGUCCCCAAACCCAAAUGAAGAUAUUGAGGUGUGGGUGAUAAAAGAUUUGUGUAAUGAAAUCUAUAGCUGUGAAUGAACCGUGUAUGUUGAAGUUGGUUAUUGUAAAAGACUGAGUCCCGCUGUAUUACUCAGGCUGCACUACAGCGUCUAUUCACAGGCGCGAUCCCACUACUGAUCAGCACGGGGGAUUUGACCUGCUCCGUUUCCGACCUGGGCCGGUUCUCCCCUCCUUAGGCGACCUGGUGCGCCCGAGCUCCCUCAGGAGCACCAUAUCGAUACCGAACUUAGUGCGGACACCCGAUCGACAUAGUGCACUGCAGCCCAGAACCCCUGAGCUCAAACGAUCCGCCAGCCUCAGCCUCCCAGCAGCUUGGAUUACAGGCACGCGCCACCGCGCCCGGCGAGAGCAGUACAGAGCUGCAGCGCUUUUCAACACAACAGUGCUCUGAGCGACAGCCCUCUAGCGGACAAACUAGGAACUACACACACCUCACUUUCCUUCUCGGUUCAGUAGGAUUUGACUGAGCAUGUAAAAGUUCUCAAAUGAAAGACUUGUUCAGAAUAUACACGUUAGCACAUAACGUGUGCAGGAGGCAUGUUUUUUUCUUUUAUUAGUUAGAUUAAGCAGUUAGUUCUUGUCAUUUAUUCAGGACUUAACUCAGGCUAAAUCAGAAUCAGAAUCAGAUUUAUUUUCCAAGUGUGUUGACACACACAAGGAAUUUGGUUCCAGCAGUUUGUGACUCUCAAAGGAGCUUGACAGAGGGAGUGUUUAGAGGUGCAGUCAUUUGUGUAGGGAGAGAAAAGCAGUGGGGAGAGAAUGCAGCCCUGAGGAGCUCCAGUGCUGAUGGUGUGGAUGUUGGAUGUGAGGUUUUACAGCCUCACUCAAUGCUGCCUGUCUGUCAGGAAGCUGGUGAUCCACUGACAGAUGGAGGUGGCUACAGAGAGCUGUGUCAGUUUAUUCAGGAGGGUACCUGGGAUGAUGGUGUUGAAAGCUGACCUGAAGUCCACAAACAGGAUCAUUUCAUAAGUCCCUGGUUUGUCCUGAUGUUGGAGGAUGUAGUGCAGUCCCAUGUUAAUGUCUUUUUUUCCAGCUUUUGAAAGUAGUUUUGCUUUGCCACCCUUAUCUUCUAUUUAGUGUGUAUUUGGCCUGUUUGUACAAGGCUUUAUUUAGGAAUCUAAAGUUGUAAUUACAAUUAUUCUCCGAUAAGAGUUAAUGUAGUGGUGUUCGUCAGAUACCGUUAAACACUGACAUAAGAUUAAUAUUAUGGGUAAAAACAAAGUUUAUUAUUGAUUUGUGUAAUGAAAUCUAUAGCUGUGAAUGAACCGUAUAUGUUGAAGUUGGUUAUUGUAAAAGACUGAGUCCCGCUGUAUUACUCAGGCUGCACUACAGCGUCUAUUCACAGGCGCGAUCCCACUACUGAUCAGCACGGGGGAUUUGACCUGCUCCGUUUCCGACCUGGGCCGGUUCUCCCCUCCUUAGACGACCUGGUGCGCCCGAGCUCCCUCAGGAGCACCAUAUCGAUACCGAACUUAGUGCGGACACCCGAUCGACAUAGUGCACUGCAGCCCAGAACCCCUGAGCUCAAACGAUCCGCCAGCCUCAG